Molecule: long non-coding RNA, 933 nt
Organism: Echinops telfairi (small Madagascar hedgehog)
Lineage: Eukaryota; Metazoa; Chordata; Mammalia; Afrosoricida; Tenrecidae
Exons: 3
Source: RefSeq, a predicted model, not a curated record
AGGUGUCGGUCACUUUGUCACGGGACGUCGCGUGGAUCAAUUGGCCUGGAAGGGUCCCGUUGAUCCCUCCCACAUCUGAGGUGACGGGAAAGGGCUGGGGAAUUUCCACUGCUGAUUUAAAUGACGGGUGUCGUGACGACGCGCAAGAAAUGGUACAGUGGGCAGUGGGAGCCCCUCUGCACUUGGGGGGGCUUUCAGCGCAAGGAUCGCAGCGCCGCCGAGCUUCCGCAGCUCCCACCUGUCGCUCCCCGCCGGGCGCCCAGACGGCGGCUGGAGAGUUCCUGCGCGCCGAUUGGAGGCGAGCCGCGCUCCGUCUCUGCCAGGUCCCACCUUCCUGCCGUGCCCUGAUUGGAGAAGCCUGGCGUCAGUCACACGGUGCAGUCCCACCUUCAGGACAGGUUCCUCCUUGGUAAAGCUGUGCCUCUCGGAAUGAGUGGGAAAAGGAAAUGAAACCACACGUGGAGGGAACCGAUCAUCGUGCCUGCCCUACAGCAAGUGCCAGGAAGAUGGAGACGCCUGUGAGAACGAACACCACCAAGCCCGUCAGCCUCUGCUCCCUGCGGGGAGACGGGGUGGCUAGCCAGAGUCCCAGGGAGCCCCUGGGCACCUGGAGACCCUGACCAGACAUGCCUACAGAUCCUGGCAACAGGGAGGAACUAGAGGGAUUCCUUCCGACGGUGGCUGGAAAGGAGAGGACCUUAGCUCACUCGGGUUGAAGACUCAGUGGGCCGGACUGAGCAGGGCACUUCUCUAUGGGAAUCCCAGGCUUCUCCAUGGGCUCAACAUGGGCUCCUUGUUGCUGGCUUUUAUUUUGGUGGGAAAUUGGCUCGUAAAGAUGCCUCUUUCAUGGGGUAAAAAAUGACGAGCUGAUACCAAGGGCUCAAGUAGAAAGAAAAUGUUUUGAGAAUGAUGAUGGCAACAAAUGUACAAAUG